UCUUAACAUAAAAAUUCACACUAUCUUUAAUUGUACUUAUAAAAGAAAGAGUGAUAGAUAUGUUCUGUUGGGGCAACAAAGAUAUACAAAAAUAAACUGUUUUCAAAAUCAAACAAAGAUUAUUGACCUUACAUCGAUCCUUUUUCAAGAUUAAAAGACUAAGUU
This 165-nucleotide ribosomal RNA is filed under the name Calcinus vachoni. RNAcentral describes it as "partial 16S rRNA". The record is from RNAcentral. Lineage: Eukaryota; Metazoa; Arthropoda; Malacostraca; Decapoda; Diogenidae.